Non-coding RNA from Podarcis lilfordi (Lilford's wall lizard), 69 nucleotides. The record is from the annotation of a GenBank genome assembly. Lineage: Eukaryota; Metazoa; Chordata; Lepidosauria; Squamata; Lacertidae.
GCUGUAGCUCAGGGGUAGAGCAUCUGCUUUGCAUGCAGAAGGCCCCAGAUUCAACCCCCAGCAUCUCCA